GACGAACGCUGGCGGCGUGCUUAACACAUGCAAGUCGAACGGAAAGGCCCUGCUUGCCGGGUACUCGAGUGGCGAACGGGUGAGUAACACGUGGGUGAUCUGCCCUUCACUUCGGGAUAAGCCUGGGAAACUGGGUCUAAUACCGGAUAGGAGCCAUUUUUAGUGUGAUGGUUGGAAAGUUUUUUCGGUGUAGGGUGAGCUCGCGGCCUAUCAGCUUGUUGGUGGGGUAAUGGCCUACCAAGGCGGCGACGGGUAGCCGGCCUGAGAGGGUGGACGGCCACAUUGGGACUGAGAUACGGCACAGACGCCUACGGGAGGCAGAAGUGGGGAAUAUUGCACAAUGGGCGCAAGCCUGAUGCAGCGAGGCCGCGUGGGGGAUGACGGCCUUCGGGUUGUAAACUCAUUUCGCUAGGGACGAAGCUUUUUGUGACGGUACCUAGAUAAGAAGCACCGGCUAACUACGUG
RNAcentral lists this ribosomal RNA (465 nucleotides) under uncultured bacterium. RNAcentral's name for it is "partial 16S ribosomal RNA". It matches the Rfam family "Bacterial small subunit ribosomal RNA", at positions 28 to 507 of the family's 1533-position model. The record is from RNAcentral.